AAACAAUACACCACCCCAACUCAAAACACAAACAAAGAAAUAAAGGAAUCAAUCAAGAGAAGAGGGUGAAGAUGAAUCCCAACAACGAAGAGAGUAGCAGUGGGGAGAAGAAGGGAAGUAGUGGUUCUAAAAGAGGGAAGAUUACAGCAAUGGCAGUGAAGAAAUGUGGAGAGCUUGCAAAGAAAGGUGCCAACACUGUUGUUGAGGCUUAUAAAGACCACAAAGAUAAGGGAAAAGUUAAACCUUGUGAUGAUUAAUAUCUAUACAUAACUAUUGUUCUUUAAUUAUAUCAUUAUGUGUCACAAAUUUGUAUUUGUAGUAAAAUAUAGGUCAGAAGUAUACUUUUGUAGAAUGUCUACCAUAUUGAUCAUACUUGUGAUUCGAUUCUCUCUGUAAACGUAUACAUUAUUUAUUACUAAAACACAUUGAUUGUGGA
This is a long non-coding RNA of Salvia splendens (bonfire salvia), 436 nucleotides long. RefSeq lists it as uncharacterized. Lineage: Eukaryota; Viridiplantae; Streptophyta; Magnoliopsida; Lamiales; Lamiaceae. The record is from RefSeq and is a predicted model, not a curated record. The transcript has 2 exons.